This is a non-coding RNA of Parelaphostrongylus tenuis, 72 nucleotides long. The record is from the annotation of a GenBank genome assembly. NCBI's taxonomy places the organism in Eukaryota, Metazoa, Nematoda, Chromadorea, Rhabditida, Metastrongylidae.
GCGUCGGUGGUGCAACGGUUAACACACACUCCCAGAAAUAGUGAGAUCUGGGUGCGAACCCCUGCUGGCGCA